This 166-nucleotide non-coding RNA is filed under the name Pseudoalteromonas sp. 3J6. Lineage: Bacteria; Pseudomonadati; Pseudomonadota; Gammaproteobacteria; Alteromonadales; Pseudoalteromonadaceae. The record is from RNAcentral.
CUUGCUAAACACUUCAACGGUGUGAUUUUUUUAGUAGGAUAAUCGGGAAGUUGGUGCGUUUUCAUUGAUGAAGUCAAUCCCAACACUGCCCCCGCAACGGUAAAGUUAUGCUGUAUUAAAUUAUGGUAACUGAGUCCGGAGACCGGCCUUGAUGUAAUCUUACUAA